RNAcentral lists this ribosomal RNA (405 nucleotides) under uncultured bacterium. Its description in RNAcentral is "partial 16S ribosomal RNA". It matches the Rfam family "Bacterial small subunit ribosomal RNA", at positions 30 to 526 of the family's 1533-position model. The record is from RNAcentral.
AUUGAACGCUGGCGGCAGGCUUAACACAUGCAAGUCGAACGAGUGGCGGACGGGUGAGUAAUGCUUGGGAAUCUAGCUUAUGGAGGGGGAUAACUACGGGAAACUGUAGCUAAUACCGCGUACCAUAGGAUGAGCCCAAGUGGGAUUAGGUAGUGGGUGAGGUAAAGGCGCACCAAGACGACGAUCUCUAGCUGGUCUGAGAGGAUGACCAGCCACACUGGGACGGAGACACGGCCCAGACUCCUACGGGAGGCAGCAGUGGGGAAUAUUGCACAAUGGGGGCAAGCUGAUGCAGCCAUGCCGCGUGUAUGAAGAAGGCCUUAGGGUUGUAAAGUUCUUUCGGUAGGGAGGCGUUAACUACAGAAGAAGCACCGGCUAACUCCGUGCCAGCAGCCGCGGUAAUAC